GAUGAACGCUGACAGAAUGCUUAACACAUGCAAGUCAACUUGAAUUUGGGUUUUUAACUUAGUUUUGGGUUGCGGACGGGUGAGUAACUCGUAAAGAACUUGCCUCACAGCUAGGGACAACAUUUGUAAACGAAUGCUAAUACCUAAUAUUAUGAUAAUAGGGCAUCCUAUAAUUAUGAAAGCUAUAAGCGCUGUGAGAGAGCUUUGCGUCCCAUUAGCUAGUUGGAGAGGUAACGGCUCACCAAGGCGAUGAUGGGUAGCCGGUCUGAGAGGGUGAUCGGCCACAAGGGGACUGAGACACGGCCCUUACUCCUACGGGAGGCAGCAGUGGGGAAUAUAGGACAAUGGACCGAGAGUCUGAUCAAGCAAUUCUGUGUGCACGAUGAAGUUUUUCGGAAUGUAAAGUGCUUUCAGUUGGGAAGAAACAAAUGACGGUACCAACAGAAGAAGUGACGGCUAAAUACGUG
This 467-nucleotide ribosomal RNA is filed under the name uncultured bacterium. RNAcentral's name for it is "partial 16S ribosomal RNA". It matches the Rfam family "Bacterial small subunit ribosomal RNA", at positions 28 to 507 of the family's 1533-position model. The record is from RNAcentral.